Molecule: ribosomal RNA, 479 nt
Filed under: uncultured bacterium
Lineage: Bacteria
Description: partial 16S ribosomal RNA
Rfam family: Bacterial small subunit ribosomal RNA
Source: RNAcentral
GACGAACGCUGGCGGCGUGCUUAACACAUGCAAGUCGAACGGUAAGGCCCUUCGGGGUACACGAGUGGCGAACGGGUGAGUAACACGUGGGUGAUCUGCCCUGCACUUCGGGAUGAGCCUGGGAAACUGGGUCUAAUACCGGAUAGGACCACUGCCUGCAUGGGUGGUGGUGGAAAGCUUUUGCGGUGUGGGAUGGGCGCCGCGGCCUAUCAGCUUGUUGGUGGGGUGAUGGCCUAGCAAGGCGACGACGGGUAGCCGGCCUGAGAGGGGAACCGGCCACAUUGGGACUGGGGUACGGCCCAGACUCCUACGGGAGGCAGCAGUGGGGAAUAUUGCACAAUGGGCGCAAGCCUGAUGCAGCGACGCCGCGUGAGGGAUGACGGCCUUCGGGUUGUAAACCUCUUUCAGCACCGACGAAGCGCAAGUGACGGUAGGUGCAGAAGAAGGACCGGCCAACUACGUGCCAGCAGCCGCCGUAA